RNAcentral lists this small RNA (5841 nucleotides) under Oryza sativa Japonica Group (Japanese rice). Its description in RNAcentral is "sRNA Os11g0490850". The record is from RNAcentral. Lineage: Eukaryota; Viridiplantae; Streptophyta; Magnoliopsida; Poales; Poaceae.
GGUGGUCAUGGCUGCCGGAAGAGGAGCUCAUGAAGUGGUAGGAGCUGGAGGUAGAAGACGACGUCGGCUGCGUCGCAAAGAGUAUCGGGAAGUUCUCCAUCUCGACCAAGCGAUCGAUCGAGCUCGAUAAGCGAGAAUAGCUCAGUUGGAUAGAUCGAGCUGAUGAGAGAGAUUGAGAAUUCGAAGAGACUGAAAGAGUUUCACAAGUUACAACCAGGGUUAUAUAGGGAUUAGUAAGCAAGCUAAAUAAACCCUCUACUUAAUACUUUUCUGUCCUCUUCUUUUCUUCUUUUUUUUUCACUUUGACUAUCGAAAUUGAUUGAAGGGCGGCUUCCUGUGCGUGCGUGCUAUGUACUACCACACAAAUCAUACGUGUCGUCACAGAAAGAAAGAGAGAGAUGGUUUGAGAGAGCUAGCUAGCUAGGUUCUCUCUCUAUGUGUGUGUUUACUGUGUGUGGUUGUCGUAAACGGCACGGAAAUUUGUGCUGGAUUUUGACAAGGAACAGUAAUAAGUGGCUGUCACAUGUUUAAGUAGCAUUUUGCUCCUCUCCAAUAGCUUUGCUUGUCCGUGCAUGCUUGCUACGAUUUGGAUACCCUAGUUAGAAACAUGUCGACACACGAGUGUAUGCAUGCCCAUUGACCGAUUAAUUUUCUGGGAUUGGUUCAAUUUGGAGAUGAUUUAAUUAGUUACCUAUUUUACAUGCAAGAACAUAAUUAUUGUUGAUCCGUGCAUAUUUUUACCCUGCAUUUAAUUAAAGCGGUUAUCAAAACAAGUUAUUUCUUGGUCAUCAGGGUCAUGGUCAUGUGUCCGUUGAAUUUAAUUAUAUGGAUACACAUAUAUAUGUAUGUGCAACACUAGCUAGCUAGAUGGAGUAGUAAUAAGAGUGUUUAGUAUGGAAUUUCCUUUUGUAAAAGAUGCCGGCAGAGAAUAAAGUUUAUUAGAACCAAUGCAUGCAUGUGGGGAAUAAAUGCGACACAUUCAAAGGCCCCAUCAAUUAAAUUAAGUUCGAGAAGGUUAGAGCAAGUUUAAUAGUAUAGCCCACUAUUAGCUCUAAAUCAUCUAUUAGUCAAUGUAAUAACCAGUUCAUAUAAUAGUUGCUUACUAUACAAAUAAUACCUGGUCUCACCUGUCAUAUCGUCUUAUAAUCCGUGCUGCAGCUGGCUACAGAUCUGUAGCCUGCUGCUCUUCUCACUCUUCAUUUAUCUCUUUAAAUUAUGUUUAUAGCGGGCUUAUAGCCUGCUAUUGUACCUGCUAUUAUAGUACAUAUUUACAUGUGCAUGUGAUCAAUUUUCUAUGGUUACCAUGAUGAAAUUUGCUACGGAUAAGAGAAUAUCUUAACUAGCUUUGUCAGUAAGCUAGAACAUGCGACCAUUUCGUGAACGAAAGUUAUAUUAUGUCCUAACCUUUAGAAGCAUCAAAUUUUUAAUAAGCGCCUUACUUAUAAAAUAAACAGCUACCACGAACAUAAUCUAACUGGCAACAAGUUAGGUAUAUAUACUUGGGUAAGAAGCUCAGGUUAAUGAAAUUUCAAGUUUUCAACCAGGUCAAAGCAAAAUAUUUAAGGUUGACUGGCAAGGCACACAUUUGAAUUUCUUAGAAACUUCAAUACAGAUCUUCGUUUAUCUGAAGCAUCUCUGUGUUCUCACAUGUCGUUGAACAGUACCCCCGACAAAAUAAAAUUUGAUAGAUUGUACUGUCACUGCUGUGUCUAGAGUUUAUAAACAUAUAUGCAUGGAUGAUAUAGGUUGAAUUCUAUCAUAUACAUAUAUGAUGUGGUAGCAAAGAUAAAUUAUACUUGUCCAUCUAACUACUCCUAAAUAUAAAAAGAAAUCAAGUUUUGAUUCAAUUGGAUGAACAAACUAAUGUCACAAAAACAAAAAGUUCUGACGAUCGAGUUACAUUGAGUGCAAAGCUCGAAAAGAAAAUGGGACUGCAUCAACUGGAAGUACUACCAACAACCGGCCAAAUUAAUUCCAUCUUAAAGUAUAGCACUAAGCUGGUACUUUAUGAGACACAAUCUAGCUAGUAUUACUACGAAUAUGGACAACAUAUUACUACUUAGUACAACUUCGUUCGUAGUACUGGAUUGUCUCAUCCAAUACUAGCUAUGUUGAUAUAUUAAUUUUAGGAAAGGAUGAGUAAAAGUUUGCAUGCAUAUAUAUAACUAAUAACUUGGUCAAUCACUGCUGAUUACUACUACUAAAGUAUAAGUACGUUCACUCUUUGCCUACCUAGAAAUAUAUAUUCCCUCCGUUUCUAAAUGUUUGACACCGUUGACUUUUUACGUACAUAUUUGACCAUUCGUCUUAUUAAAAAAGUUGUGAAAUAUGUAAAACUAUAUAUAUACAUGAAAGUAUAUUUAACAAUGAAUCAAAUGAUAAGAAAAUAAUUAAUAAUCACUUAAUUUUUUUCAAUAAGAUGAAUGAUCAAACAUGUUUAAAAAAGUCAACGGCGUCAAAUAUUUAGAAACGGAGGGUCGAGAGUAUAUAAUAAGAAAAAACCACAGCAAAGAACUCGUAUGCAUGUGUGCAGUCCAAGUUGUCCCGGCCGUACGCUAGCUUCGCUCAGCAAACGACACUCCGCGUCUCGUGCUUAAUUAGCUAGCUCUUCGUCUACCUGUACUUGUAACUUGUGCAGCUACAUUUCAACGACCAAACAGUGCACAGAAUACUACUACUACCUCCAUCGCAUUUUAAGUGCAGUUAUAGAUUUUCGUAUCUAACGUUUAAACAUUAGUCUAAUUUAAAAAAAUAUGAAAACAUUAAAAAAAAAUUAGUCACACAUAACUAUUCAUGUUUUAUCAUCUAAUAACAAUAAAAAUACUAAUCAUAAAAAAAAUUAAAUAAAAUAAAAGGUCAAACUUAACAUUGGAUAUAAACAGUGUAAAACUACGAUCUUUCUGGGAUGGACGGAGGUAAUAGUACUUUGGAUUUUCAGUCAUGCCUACUAGUACACAUAACACGUUAUUACUUAUGUCCAUGUACCUAACAACGUGUGUGUAGGGACGAUGUUACUGUUAAUUUGAUCACAUCAUCGUGUACGUCUGCUAUGAUGGAUAUAUAGCUAGCUAAGCUUUCAGAGUCAUGCCCAGAAUAUGUAUUGCAUGCGUUGAUGAAAUAGUUACCUGAAUCAAAUUGUGCUGAUCGAUCAGUCGAGAUUUCUGAACCUUGACUUGGAAACAUGUCCGGAUGCAUGCAUGUGAAAUAAUGACAAAAUAUGGGCUGGGACGAGGAGAUGGAACAGUGUACGUGCUGGCAAUAAUUAAUGAUCAAGUGUCGUCUUCAAACCAUGCACAUGUGAUGGUGCAGGCUAAGCUGUAGCCUUCCUUACCCAUAUAUGCAUGCAUGCUGCCUAAAAGUGUGGCAUGAUGGCGGCUAACAUUCUAAUUAAGAAUUAGGAGUUGGGUGCUAACCUUCAUUCGUGGUAUAUCUAUCUAAUUUUGGAGAGCUGGAUAUAUAAAUAUAUACGAAGAUGUAUGUCAGUCGUCACCUCCUCUAACUCCGGCCAGACGACGACGGCACUGAUAAGUUACGAUUUGAGGUUGGGUCAACAUAGAAGAGGAUAGGAGAGACAGAAGAGAGAUUGUUUCUUCAAGCUUAAUUAGAGGGGUAAUUAUCGGUGGCAGUCAAAUCAGUUGAAUACGGUGGUAAUGGACGAGUGAUAAAGCAGCGGAGGCCCCAUCGGAGCUGCGGGGCCGGCCACAGUAGCAGUAGGGGAGAGGGAGACCAUGGAGUUGGCAGCAGUGGCGUCUUUUGGUAGGGGAGCCGUUAGAGACGGACCGCGGAAGAUGAUGGGGUAGGGCGCCUAACUUGGGAAGAACAAGAAGGGGGAUAAGGGAUCGAGGAGAAGGGGAGGAGGCUGGCCAAGUGGUUACGGGCCUCGUUAGUGCCAUUAAUGGCAUCGGAAAGGCAAUGGGGAUUGGAGGGUGGUGAUAGUGAGCUUGUUCUACCAAAGCAGGUCGCAUGAGGAGAAGAAAAACAAAGAGAGGGAUAAGGUUAUUUCUUAGCAUGAAUCUCAAUGCAAUUCUAGCCAUUCAAAAAGCGAUUGAGAUCGUCGGGAGGUUUUCUAUUAAAUGUUCCAUAGGUAGUCCCUUAAAAAUAUUAUAUAUGUGAAUGUAGGGUCGUAAUUGCAUGAGUCUGAUGAGCUGCCAUAAUAUAUGAAAACUAUUUAUUUACUCGAAGUAAUAUUUUUACACAAUUAAGUAUUCCAAUAACUGAAAAUUCAGGCACCUAUAAAUUCUAAACGCACUACUCUCUCUAUGGGCGAAAGUGGAAGAUUAGGCAACUUUAGUACAUCAAGCAGAGGCACGUGGAUCAGAUCCAAUUGUCCAAAUCAUUUCAGUUUGAAUAUUGUGCCAAAGCUCAAGAAACAUGUGAAUCGUGCUCUUUAUUUUUUUCCUCAUUUCAUGCAUGCUAAGCUACUAAGCACAUCGAUCCCUUGCAUCUGGCACUCUAGCUAGCUUCGUGUGAUGAAAAGAGAGACAUGACUUGGCUCCAUGCAUGCAUGUAUGCAUGGGUACGAUAAACGUCAAAAUUAAUGCAAACCAAAGUUGAUCUCUUACAAGCUAGGGCAUGAAUUGAUACAAGAUUAAGUACACAGAAAUAUAUAGAACAUAUAUAUAAUACUGUUUCUGGUAGUGAUAGAUUGUAUAACACAAAGUAGAGCUCCACAGGAUAAUUGAUUUUCUUCUCAAUCAAUCCUAGUGCAUACAUAUAAAUCAACCUUAAUUUUGUAUCAGAUAUACAGUAUACUAUCGAGCAGUUUUUUAAGCCACAUAAGUUAAUUGUUAGUCAAAGCAUGGGCACAGAAGUUGAUCAUCAGCGAUGACAUCAAUCGAACAAUUAAUUAGCUCCACACUAAGGGUAGCUAGUUAAUCUGUUUAGUUACUGUAAUAUUCAAUCCCCAUCGCUUUUGUACUCCAAUCUUAAUUGACCAAUAUAGUCUAUAUGUACAACACCAAAUUGAUAAGACGUACCAUAUAGUCAUAUAUUAGCAAUAUAAUAUACUCCCUCCGUAUUUUAAUAUAUGACACCGUUGACUUUUCAACUAACGUUUGACCAUUCGUUUUAUUCAAAAAUUUCAUGUAAAUAUGAAAAUAUUUAUAUUAUGCUUAAAGAACAUUUGAUAAUGAAUCUAGUCACAAUAAAAUAAAUGACAAUUGCAUAAAUUUUCUAAAUAAGAUAAAUGGUCAAACGUUGGAUAAAAAGUCAACGGCGUCAUAUAUUAAAAUAUGGAGGUAGUAGUUAUUUUGCUAACAUAGAUGAGAGAUGUGGAAGAGACGUAAAUGAUCGAGUUGUCUCUCUGCACCACAUAUGAGACGACAGAACGAGUACAAGAUACAGUAGAGGUGAGUGAUAUUGAAAUUAUAUUCUUAUAAUAUACUCUCUCUCUCUCUCUGUUUAAAAGGAAUUAACUUUUGUAGUUAUAGUUAUGAAUCUGGACAGCUAGAUUCAUAUACUAUGAAUCGUAUAUAGUUAUUAGCUAGUAAUAAGUCUCCAAUCUAAUAAGUAAAAUUUUGUAUGACCUAAAGACACACAAACCAAAUCUAGAAUCGAAAGUACACGGUCUACUCAAGUAAUUAAGCAAUCAACCUUCACGCCAUAUAUGUGAUUAAAUUGACUAGCUAUAUAGGAGUAUUUGAGAGAUUUGACCACACGGACAAAGUUAUCAAUAUAUUCUGGACAAUCCGUACAAAGCGGGGGAUGCCGUCGCGCUCAUGGCGAUGGAAAAAAAAUGUGCACACGCUUUUUCUGCUGGAUGACUCGGGUUGCCACUGACUUCCUGCAGCCAAAGCAUGCAUGCAAUGGAUGCUUCCUUCAGUUUGCCUUCCUAUCUGGUUU